RNAcentral lists this ribosomal RNA (253 nucleotides) under uncultured bacterium. Its description in RNAcentral is "partial 16S ribosomal RNA". It matches the Rfam family "Bacterial small subunit ribosomal RNA", at positions 524 to 776 of the family's 1533-position model. The record is from RNAcentral.
UACAGAGGGGGCAAGCGUUGUUCGGAAUUACUGGGCGUAAAGGGCGCGUAGGCGGCCUUCUAAGUCGAACGUGAAAUCCCCGGGCUCAACCCGGGAACUGCGUCCGAGACUGGAAGGCUCGAAUCCGGGAGAGGGAUGUGGAAUUCCAGGUGUAGCGGUGAAAUGCGUAGAUAUCUGGAGGAACACCGGUGGCGAAGGCGGCAUCCUGGACCGGUAUUGACGCUGAGGCGCGAAAGCCAGGGGAGCAAACGGG